This 446-nucleotide ribosomal RNA is filed under the name uncultured bacterium. Its description in RNAcentral is "partial 16S ribosomal RNA". It matches the Rfam family "Bacterial small subunit ribosomal RNA", at positions 338 to 795 of the family's 1533-position model. The record is from RNAcentral.
CCUACGGGAGGCAGCAGUCGAGAAUUAUUCACAAUGGGGGAAACCCUGAUGGUGCGACGCCGCGUGGGGGAAUGAAGGUCUUCGGAUUGUAAACCCCUGUCAUGUGGGAGCAAAUUAAAAAGAUCGUACCACACGAGGAAGAGACGGCUAACUCUGUGCCAGCAGCCGCGGUAAUACAGAGGUCUCAAGCGUUGUUCGGAAUCACUGGGCGUAAAGCGUGCGUAGGCUGUUUCGUAAGUCGUGUGUGAAAGGCGCGGGCUCAACCCGCGGACGGCACAUGAUACUGCGAGACUAGAGUAAUGGAGGGGGAACCGGAAUGCUCGGUGUAGCAGUGAAAUGCGUAGAUAUCGAGAGGAACACUCGUGGCGAAGGCGGGUUCCUGGACAUUAACUGACGCUGAGGCACGAAGGCCAGGGGAGCGAAAGGGAUUAGAUACCCCGGUAGUC